AAAUGCGAUAAGUAAUGUGAAUUGCAGAAUUCAGUGAAUCAUCGAAUCUUUGAACGCACCUUGCGCCCUUUGGUAUUCCGAAGGGCAUGCCUGUUUGAGUGUCAUUAAAUUAUCAACCUUGUUCGCUUUUCGGAGCUUGAGCGAGGCUUGGAUGUGAGGGUUUUUGCUGGCUUCCUUCAGUGGAUGGUCUGCUCCCUUUAAAUGCAUUAGUGGGAUCUCUUUUGUGGACCGUCACUUGGUGUGAUAAUUAUCUAUGCCAUUGACUUGCUUAACGAGAAUCUGCUUAUAACCGUCUCGCAAGGGACAACACUUUAUUGACAAUUUGACCUCAAAUCAGGUAGGACUACCCGCUGAACUUAAGCAUAUCAAUAAGCGGAGGAA
RNAcentral lists this ribosomal RNA (381 nucleotides) under fungal sp. 2 RB-2011. RNAcentral's name for it is "eukaryotic LSU rRNA". The stretch from base 1 to 104 matches the Rfam family "5.8S ribosomal RNA", at positions 51 to 154 of the family's 154-position model. Lineage: Eukaryota; Fungi. The record is from RNAcentral.